Molecule: ribosomal RNA, 253 nt
Filed under: uncultured bacterium
Lineage: Bacteria
Description: partial 16S ribosomal RNA
Rfam family: Bacterial small subunit ribosomal RNA
Source: RNAcentral
UACGUAGGCAGCGAGCGUUGUUCGGAGUUACUGGGCGUAAAGAGUGCGUAGGCGGUUUUCUAAGUUUGGUGUGAAAUCUCCCGGCUUAACUGGGAGGGUGCGCCGAAGACUGGAAGGCUUGAGUAUGGGAGAGGUAAGCGGAAUUCCUGGUGUAGCAGUGAAAUGCGUAGAUAUCAGGAGGAACACCUGCGGUGUAGACGGCUUACUGGACCAUCACUGACGCUGAGGCACGAAAGCGUGGGUAGCAAACAGG